RNAcentral lists this ribosomal RNA (469 nucleotides) under uncultured bacterium. RNAcentral describes it as "partial 16S ribosomal RNA". It matches the Rfam family "Bacterial small subunit ribosomal RNA", at positions 28 to 507 of the family's 1533-position model. The record is from RNAcentral.
GACGAACGCCGGCGGCGUGCUUAACACAUGCAAGUCGAACGGAAAGGCCCUGCUUUUGUGGGGUGCUCGAGUGGCGAACGGGUGAGUAACACGUGAGUAACCUGCCCUUGACUUUGGGAUAACUUCAGGAAACUGGGGCUAAUACCGGAUAGGAGCUCCUGCUGCAUGGUGGGGGUUGGAAAGUUUCGGCGGUUGGGGAUGGACUCGCGGCUUAUCAGCUUGUUGGUGGGGUAGUGGCUUACCAAGGCUUUGACGGGUAGCCGGCCUGAGAGGGUGACCGGCCCACAUUGGGAUGGAGAAAGGCCCCGACCUCCUCGGGGAGGAAGCGGUGGGCAAUCUGCAACAGGGGGGGGGCUCCGAAUGCAGCAACCCCGGGGGGGGGAUGGCGGCCUUCGGUUUGAACCCCCCUUCCGCUGGUGAGGAGGGGUGAGUGACGGGAGGGGAAAAAGAAGCCCCGGCAAACUACGUG